AGAGUUUGAUCCUGGCUCAGAGCGAACGCUGGCGGCAGGCCUAAUACAUGCAAGUCGAACGCACCUUCGGGUGAGUGGCGGACGGGUGAGUAACACGUGGGAACGUGCCCUUUGGUUCGGAAUAAUCCGGGGAAACCUGGCCUAAUACCGGAUGUGCCCUUCGGGGGAAAGAUUUAUCGCCAUUGGAGCGGCCCGCGUCUGAUUAGCUAGUUGGUGGGGUAAAGGCCCACCAAGGCUACGAUCAGUAGCUGGUCUGAGAGGAUGAUCAGCCACACUGGGACUGAGACACGGCCCAGACUCCUACGGGAGGCAGCAGUAGGGAAUCUUGCGCAAUGGGCGAAAGCCUGACGCAGCCAUGCCGCGUGAAUGAUGAAGGUCUUAGGAUUGUAAAAUUCUUUCAGCGGGGAAGAUAAUGACGGUACCCGCAGAAGAAGCUCCGGCUAACUUCGUGCCAGCAGCCGCGGUAAUACGAAGGGGGCUAGCGUUGCUCGGAAUUACUGGGCGUAAAGGGCGCGUAGGCGGGUGUUUAAGUCAGAGGUUAAAUCCCAGAGCUCAACUCUGGAACUGCCUUUGAUACUGGACACCUAGAGUACGGGAGAGGUGUGUGGAACUCCGAGUGUAGAGGUGAAAUUCGUAGAUAUUCGGAAGAACACCAGUGGCGAAGGCGACACACUGGCCCGUUACUGACGCUGAGGCGCGAAAGCGUGGGGAGCAAACAGGAUUAGAUACCCCUGUAGUCC
This 740-nucleotide ribosomal RNA is filed under the name uncultured bacterium. Its description in RNAcentral is "bacterial SSU rRNA". It matches the Rfam family "Bacterial small subunit ribosomal RNA", at positions 8 to 796 of the family's 1533-position model. The record is from RNAcentral.